UAUCCAUCAUUGCUUUUCAGAUUUGAUAACUCGAGGAAGCCCUAGAGUACAUCUGAGGUCCACUAUUUGAGAAAUGCUGUCUGAAAGAGUGAAGUCAGUCUAUGAAAACAUCUCUCAAAUGUGAGUCAUCUCUGCAGAUGAGAGCCUGGCUUGGUAGCUGGGCUGGGCUUCCUUCUCAUCAGAGCUUAGUGAACUCAGACAUCACUGUUGGACUCCUUGAAAAGAGAGGAGGACAGAAGGUGCCUGGAAGCAGCCCCUGAAACCAGCUGGAAGUCUGACCCUGCAAGGGCUUCCUGGCUGCUAAACUCGGCUGACACUUUUGGAUCUCCUAAGUGAUCACUCUGCAGCAGCCGGCCCGCUCACCAUCCCCGCUUCUCUACCGUGACACAUAGCCCCUGGCUUCCUCCACUGCUCUGGCCGCUCCUCUUCAGCUUGCAUCUUGAGGAUUCCAUUCUCGGCACCCAUCCCUUCCUCUUCUUCGUGCUCCCCCCUGAGUAAAUGUGACCGUCCCCAUGGUCUGGCUCAUUUUGUUAUUACUUCCUAAGUAUCUCCCUGAAAACAAGUGUUUCCUGCUGAGUUCCAGACUGGUGCAGCUAGAUGAUUGUACUUUUCACGAUGCGGUGAGCCUCUGGAGGGGAGAGAUCGUAGGAUCCUGUCCAGUGCCUGGCACACAUAGGCAUUUAGCAAAUAUUUGAUAAAUGGAAAAAGUGGAACAAGAGCCACCAGCUCAUGAUCAUUCAAGAGCUCUUUGUAUCAGGUGAGAUGUGUACAUCUCAGGGAAUGCCAGAGGGGUGAUUCAUAAAGCCAAAAGUUAUUAGAGUCAGAGGAGGUUUAAGACCAUCUCCAGCCAAACCUCUUAUUGUGCUCAAAAGGAAACUGAGGUCCAGCAGGGAUAAGACACUUGUUCAAGAUCACACAGCAAAUUUCGGGCAGAGUACCUCCCCAGCUCACAUAGGAAGGGGCACCUUGGGGUAUUCCCUCCCAGGAUGAUCCUGCAGGAGUGAAAGAUAGGAAGGUAGGAUGGGCAUGGUACAUACGUGGGGCCAUGACAAAUGUGAGCUCAAAUGUAUGUCUGGAAAGUUCGAAGGCAUAAUGCCCUACGCGAAUCUUACUCGAUUGUUGUCUGAUCCAACACACCGGUGACUGGGAUCCCAUAAAACUGCUGCAUAGUGGAGACUGCUGACUGUAAGACCUUCCCUGAGUGCAGCGCGGGUGCCCGUGAGUCAUAGGGAAGCAGAUAGCCAUAUGACUUUAACCAGUUCUGAAAGACACAUGAAAGAGAAGGAUGCAUUAUGCUGGAGAAGGCUCUGUUCCACCUAGGUGGAGAUUUGCCCUUGAAACUGGGAUCAUUUUACCGAAGGGACCUAUGGACUCAUGCUCCGAUUGCCUCCCCCUUCAUUCCUUCCUGCACACACUGGCAAAUAAUCUCCAGAAAACCCAGCUCUUGGUGGCUUUCUCCCUUGCUAUAAAGCUUUCAUUGGAUCUCUACUGGCUACAGAAUAAAGAUCAAAUUUGCAUUCAA
Neofelis nebulosa (Clouded leopard) is the source of this 1522-nucleotide long non-coding RNA. RefSeq lists it as uncharacterized. The record is from RefSeq and is a predicted model, not a curated record. The transcript is spliced from 3 exons. Lineage: Eukaryota; Metazoa; Chordata; Mammalia; Carnivora; Felidae.